UACGUAGGGCGCAAGCGUUAUCCGGAAUUAUUGGGCGUAAAGAGCGCGUAGGCGGUUUGUCGCGUCUGCCGUGAAAGCCCGGGGCUCAACUCCGGAUCUGCGGUGGGUACGGGCAGACUAGAGUGAUGUAGGGGAGACUGGAAUUCCUGGUGUAGCGGUGAAAUGCGCAGAUAUCAGGAGGAACACCGAUGGCGAAGGCAGGUCUCUGGGCAUUAACUGACGCUGAGGAGCGAAAGCAUGGGGAGCGAACAGG
Molecule: ribosomal RNA, 253 nt
Filed under: uncultured bacterium
Lineage: Bacteria
Description: partial 16S ribosomal RNA
Rfam family: Bacterial small subunit ribosomal RNA
Source: RNAcentral